Molecule: ribosomal RNA, 400 nt
Filed under: uncultured bacterium
Lineage: Bacteria
Description: bacterial SSU rRNA
Rfam family: Bacterial small subunit ribosomal RNA
Source: RNAcentral
UGGGGAAUUUUGGACAAUGGGCGAAAGCCUGACGCAGCAACGCCGCGUGAGGGAUGACGGCCUUCGGGUUGUAAACCUCUUUUGUCAGGGAAGAUAGUGACGGUACCUGACGAAUAAGCCACGGCUAACUACGUGCCAGCAGCCGCGGUAAUACGUAGGUGGCAAGCGUUGUCCGGAUUUACUGGGCGUAAAGAGCGCGCAGGCGGUCGAUCAAGUCGCGUGUGAAAGCCCCCGGCUCAACUGGGGAGGGUCACGCGAUACUGACCGACUCGAAGGCAGGAGAGGGUAGUGGAAUUCCCGGUGUAGUGGUGAAAUGCGUAGAUAUCGGGAGGAACACCAGUGGCGAAGGCGACUACCUGGCCUGUUCUUGACGCUGAGGCGCGAAAGCUAGGGGAGCAAA